This 1280-nucleotide long non-coding RNA is filed under the name Equus asinus (donkey). RNAcentral's name for it is "lncRNA (ENSEASG00005026714.1)". The record is from RNAcentral. Lineage: Eukaryota; Metazoa; Chordata; Mammalia; Perissodactyla; Equidae.
GACACACCCCUAUGCGCAACGCCUGGGGAGAGGAGAUGGGGGCGGGGCUACCAGAGAAGUGGAUGGAGACCAGGAACAGGCAUAUCACAGGAGCGGGCCACAUGCUGCGAGAGAUGGAGAAAAACCACCACUGGAUGUGCCGUUUAGGGCCAUGCCAGCCACUGGCGGCGUUAGCAGGUGGAAGACGGAGAGGAUGCGGGCAAGAGAGGAAGGGCGGCUCAUUGCACUGGACCCGCUCAGACACUGGCACUCCAGCUUCCAGGGACUCGGCCCCACCAACAGGCCCCCCUGGCUGGGCUUGCCCAGUGCACUGGGCCAUGCCCCACCACAGCCAAGCCCGCAAUUGUCAGAUGUGGAUUCGGCACUGCCUCCCCCAGGCCCAGCGUGGACCCUCCCACGUUCUGCUCUGCACAGAUGCCGACCAGUCACGUGUGCGCCACAGCUGAAGGCCUCCCCCGUUGGCCUUCGCCAUCUGCUGAGGCCCCAUAAUUAUUCCAAGGCCCGGUGCAGUCUCACUCCGAGGGGAGAGUUCCAACAGCCCUGUAAUGUAACCCAGGCCCUCGGCUGCUCGGCAGGGGGUCCCCAGCUGGGUAAUGAGCCGCCAGCUUAUUGAAUUCCCCGGCUGGGUCUGACUGAUCACUGCCUUAGCCAGGCGGCCCAGGCCCUCUGAGAACCCAUCUGAGCACCCUCGUUAAGGACUCCUUCUCCCCGGCACCCCAAAUCCUGCUCCUCAAAUCCUUCCUCCUCCCCAGAUGUGUUUAAAUGACAAAGAUCAGUGCAAGGAGGCUCCCCGGGGGCUGGCCUCCCCCAUCUAUUCAGGAGAGAGUGUGGCUGCCUCCGGUCUGGGGCCCCAAGCCGGGUGGCUCAGAGGGGCUGCUGGUGGGCCUUUGCUGGGGCUGCCCUAUGCGGAAGCAAGACCUGCAGUUCCCACCCCCGGCCCGUCUCCACCACUUGCUGACUUCCUUCUCCCCUCCCCUUUCUGGCGGCCCAGGCCCCUGGAGGGAGGGCCUUGGCCCAGGACGCUGUGCUGUGGGCCAGGCCUUUCCAAGGAGACGUGUAGGAAGCUGCCUUCUCUGCGCCGUCUUGCAGACUCCUGCUCAGGCGUCAAGACCCACCCCAUGUCACGUCUGCAUCUGCGCAACAGCAAACCCAGGCUUCCCUCCCACCUGCCCAGCUCUUGUAAGACCCCCACAACAGCAUUUACUUGUCCUAUCAUGCUUUUGCCUGCUUGUUUUCUGGCCGACACGGUGCCCUGUCUGUGGGCAAGGACUGCCCUCUAU